CAAUAGCGUAUAUUAAAGUUGUUGUGGUUAAAAAGCUCGUAGUUGAACCUUGGGCCUGGCCGUCCGGUCCGCCUCACCGCGUGUACUGGCUCGGCCGGGCCUUUCCCUCUGUGGAACCCCAUGCCCUUCACUGGGCGUGGCGGGGAAACAGGACUUUUACUGUGAAAAAAUUAGAGUGCUCCAGGCAGGCCUAUGCUCGAAUACAUUAGCAUGGAAUAAUAGAAUAGGACGUGUGGUUCUAUUUUGUUGGUUUCUAGGACCGCCGUAAUGAUUAAUAGGGACAGUUGGGGGUAUUCGUAUUCCGUUGUCAGAGGUGAAAUUCUUGGAUUUACGGAAGACGAACUACUGCGAAAGCAUUUACCAAGGAUGUUUUCAUUAA
This 379-nucleotide ribosomal RNA is filed under the name uncultured eukaryote. RNAcentral's name for it is "partial 18S ribosomal RNA". It matches the Rfam family "Eukaryotic small subunit ribosomal RNA", at positions 592 to 976 of the family's 1831-position model. The record is from RNAcentral.